RNAcentral lists this ribosomal RNA (1080 nucleotides) under Triticum aestivum (bread wheat). RNAcentral's name for it is "partial small subunit ribosomal RNA". Lineage: Eukaryota; Viridiplantae; Streptophyta; Magnoliopsida; Poales; Poaceae. The record is from RNAcentral.
AUGGAGGGGCUCGACGUCGACGACGUCUUCCACCACUACCGGCUGAGCCCUACGGAAGUGGAGGCCGUCACCUACUACCUGCCACGCCUCCUCUCCGGCGAGACGCUGCACGGCGCCGACAAGCUCAUCCACCGCGUCGAAAUCUCCGGCUGCGAGCCCAAGGAUCUGGCCGCCCGAUACGCGCCCGCGCCGCAGGCCGUGAGCAGCGGCGAUCGGUUCUUCUUCACCACAUGCAAGAGCAAGAACGGGAGCAAGCUCCAGAGCGUGCGCGGCGCCGGUAGCGGCACCUGGAGCAUCCAGAAGACCACGGAGAUUUGCCAUGCGGGAUGCAAGGUCGGCGAGAUCAAGAACCUCUCCUUCAAGAAGAAGGGCAAGUCCACCGGCUGGGUCAUGGAGGAGUACCGGUGCCUGCUGCCGGAGGCCACCGUCAGCGACGGGGUGAAGGUGUUCUGCAAGAUGCACUUGGCUCAGCAUGCUCCUGACGCGGCCCGCCAGGAAUCGGAAGCGUACAAGCUUCAGCAACAGCAACGAGAGGCCUCAGUUGUGCUGGAGUCCACCCAAUCAGUUGUGUUGGAGUCUGUCAAGCAUUACAGCCAACAACAGAUUGUUCCUGAGGCUGGCUCAAGCAUUGCAAGGAGCUCAUCUGAAGAGGAUGUCUUUGAGCCGGAUGGGAAGGCAGAUGGUUUUGAUAUCGAAGAACUAAUGAGAAUGAUGGAAGCCGACCCAAUUGAAGUUGAGCCGGUCACUGGAACCAACACUGGCGUGGAGAUGGGCCAACAGGAACCUCUGUACCUGGAUGCCUUGGACCAAGGCGUGCUGGAGGGUAUGCUGCAGUCCGAUUGCUCUGCCUUCCAUGAUGCUGACAAGGAGAAGAGGUACAAUGCCGCGUCGGAUCUUGACGCUCCAUCGCUGCUUCAGGGACAGGACCACUUGUUCAAACCGCGGCCGUGCUCCUUCGAUCCAUUUGAAGCAGCGUGGAAUGACGAAGAGGCGCUCGAGAAGGAGAAGAGGUGCAAUGCUGCGGCCAAUCUUCACGCUGGAGGGCACAGCAACUUCUUCUCGCCUGCAAGUGUCUAUUAA